RNAcentral lists this long non-coding RNA (1020 nucleotides) under Ananas comosus (pineapple). RNAcentral's name for it is "long non-coding RNA (ACOM_LNC020320)". The record is from RNAcentral. Lineage: Eukaryota; Viridiplantae; Streptophyta; Magnoliopsida; Poales; Bromeliaceae.
UUCAAAACUUUAAUUUCUAAACAUUAAAAAGCACCUAAUUUUUCUUCUGGCACUAUUAUUUUACUAUUAUGUGUGAACAGUUUAGAAUUAGUUUUAUAUUGUAAAUGUUUAACCCGCUGAACACUAAUAAUUUUUUUAGAACUAAAUCACUGGUCUAAAAUGCUUAAUUUCAGUCACUAUUAUUAAGAUUACAUGUUUCUUAUACUUCUAAUAGUAUUUUAAAAAAACAAAAAUCAAAUGUAUAACUAUCUGAAUAUUAUAAACUCUCUCCAUUUAAUUUAAGAUUGUAAGGCGAUAUGAGAUUCAUCUUACACUUUCGACUAGCGAAUUAACUCUAAUGCUAAAUAUAAUAAUUUAUUAUACUAACAUUAACAACUCGUUGGGUCCAAAUCACCUGCUCUAACAUAUAUAAAAAUUUAAUAAAUUAACAAGACAUACAUAUAUAAUUUCAAAGCUUUUGUUAUCACCAACCAUUGUGCUCUUUGUUGGUUUGUGCAAUGUUCAACAAACAACAAGUCACAGGUUCAAGGAUUGGUUGGUACAAAAGGAGGAAGAGAGAAAAGAAGAAGAAAGAGGUAUUUCAAAAUACCUCCAUUUUUGUGUUGUAAUUUAUUUAUAUUUUUAAAGCAAAAUAAAAUUUAAAUUAUCUAUACCUCAAUUUUUCAUAAAUUUAUAUUUUAAAAUAAAAUAAAGUUUAAAUUAUCUUAGUUAGUUUAUUAUUAUUGUUGUUAGAGAUAGGGGUGGCAAUCCAGCCCACUGUUUGCGAGUCAGCUUAUAUUCGACUCGAAAUGAGCUCGAGAUUGAAUCGCUCGUUCAGUAAAUGAGCUGAACAUGAGUUGAAUCUUUUAGUUCGUUUAAUAAAUGAGCUAAACACGAGCUGGGAUUAUCAGCUUGUGCGUGUUCGACUCGAUAACAGCUCGAAUACAUAUAUUUUAUAUUUAUAUAUUUAUAUAUAUAAAAAAAAUAGUUAUAUAUAUAUAUAUAUAUAUAUAUAUAUAUAUAUAUAUAUAUAUUUUAUAU